Molecule: unclassified non-coding RNA, 320 nt
Filed under: plant metagenome
Description: partial contains 5.8S ribosomal RNA, internal transcribed spacer 2, and large subunit ribosomal RNA
Rfam family: 5.8S ribosomal RNA (bases 1-105)
Source: RNAcentral
GAAAUGCGAUAAGUAAUGUGAAUUGCAGAAUUCCGUGAAUCAUCGAAUCUUUGAACGCACAUUGCGCCCGCCAGUAUUCUGGCGGGCAUGCCUGUUCGAGCGUCAUUACAACCCUCAGGCCCCCGGGCCUGGCGUUGGGGAUCGGCGGAAGCCCCCUGCGGGCACAACGCCGUCCCCCAAAUACAGUGGCGGUCCCGCCGCAGCUUCCAUUGCGUAGUAGCUAACACCUCGCAACUGGAGAGCGGCGCGGCCACGCCGUAAAACACCCAACUUCUGAAUGUUGACCUCGAAUCAGGUAGGAAUACCCGCUGAACUUAAGC